GCGGUCAUGGUGAAGUGGUUAACACACUGGAUUGUGGCUCCAGCAUUCGAGGGUUCGAGUCCCUUUGGCCGCCCCA
RNAcentral lists this transfer RNA (76 nucleotides) under Acholeplasma sp. RNAcentral's name for it is "tRNA-His". It matches the Rfam family "tRNA". From Rfam's summary of the family: Transfer RNA (tRNA) molecules are approximately 80 nucleotides in length. Their secondary structure includes four short double-helical elements and three loops (D, anti-codon, and T loops). RNAcentral also lists the same sequence under 2 other names. Lineage: Bacteria; Bacillati; Mycoplasmatota; Mollicutes; Acholeplasmatales; Acholeplasmataceae. The record is from RNAcentral.